Molecule: non-coding RNA, 92 nt
Organism: Marasmius sp. AFHP31
Lineage: Eukaryota; Fungi; Basidiomycota; Agaricomycetes; Agaricales; Marasmiaceae
Source: the annotation of a GenBank genome assembly
CCGACCAUAGCUCAGUUGGAAGAGCACAAAACUGUAAUAGGUUGCCGGGAAGUACGAUCUUGGGGUCGCCUGUUCGAACCAGGCUCGUCGGG